UGGGGAAUUUUGGGCAAUGGCCGAAAGGCUGACCCAGCAACGCCGCGUGAAGGAUGAAAUCCUUCGGGAUGUAAACUUCGUAAAUAAGGGAAGAAUAAACUAGUUCUAACACAGCUAGAUAUGACGGUACCUUAUGUAAGCCCCGGCUAACUCCGUGCCAGCAGCCGCGGUAAUACGGGGGGGGCAAGCGUUGUUCGGAAUUACUGGGCGUAAAGGGCGCGUAGGCGGUCUGGCCAAGUCGAGUGUGAAAUUCCAGGGCUUAACUCUGGCGGGUCGCUCGAUACUGGUCGGCUAGAGUGUGGAAGAGGAUGCUGGAAUUCUCGGUGUAGCGGUGAAAUGCGUAGAUAUCGGGAGGAACACCAGCGGCGAAGGCGGGCAUCUGGGCCAACACUGACGCUGAGGCGCGAAAGCUAGGGGAGCAAACAGGAUUAGAUACCCCUGUAGUCC
Molecule: ribosomal RNA, 447 nt
Filed under: uncultured bacterium
Lineage: Bacteria
Description: bacterial SSU rRNA
Rfam family: Bacterial small subunit ribosomal RNA
Source: RNAcentral